This 301-nucleotide ribosomal RNA is filed under the name uncultured bacterium. RNAcentral's name for it is "partial 16S ribosomal RNA". It matches the Rfam family "Bacterial small subunit ribosomal RNA", at positions 509 to 807 of the family's 1533-position model. The record is from RNAcentral.
CAGUAGCCGCGGUAAUACGAAGGGGGCUAGCGUUGCUCGGAAUUACUGGGCGUAAAGGGAGCGUAGGCGGACAUUUAAGUCAGGGGUGAAAUCCCAGAGCUCAACUGCGGAACUGCCUUUGAUACUGGGUAUCUUGAGUAUGGAAGAGGUUAGUGGAAUUGCGAGUGUAGAGGUGAAAUUCGUAGAUAUUCGCAGGAACACCAGUGGCGAAGGCGGCUAACUGGUCCAUAACUGACGCUGAGGUGCGAAAGCGUGGGGAGCAAACAGGAUUAGAUACCCGAGUAGUCCCUGUCUCUUAUAC